CUUUUUCAAUAGGAUACAACCAUAAUUAAACCAAGAAGUUUAUGAAGAAGGGAUCACUGGAUUUUGUCACUUUGGUACAAGAAACAGAAAAGGAUAUCAUAGACCACCUUACUUAUACGGAAGCAUAGGAGCUGUUGAAGGAAAUUGCUGCCAGACAGUCAGCAGUUAUCACUGACAGCCUGUCCUGGCCCAGCUGGGACCAUCCUCAAGCUAACCAUGAUGAUGUGUUUGCAAGAAUUGUCCAUUUGGUAGAACAUGAUGAAGACGAGCUUUGUUGUGGCAUGGCCUGACAAUACUGUACAAGCCAGAGACCAAAAAAGGGUUAAGUGGUGACUGAUCCUCUCACCCUCCUUAUCCAGGAAACGUUUCGGAACAACGUGUUGGCACUGAAGAUGUGGAGGACACAGAUUGGUCACAGUACAUCCUUUGGAUACAUGAACACCUUCAACGGGACGACAACAAAACUGUACCUGCCUUUUUUUUGAAAGGAAGUAGUUAAUAAAAUUAUUGAUAACAGCUUUUUUUAGUUUUGUUGUUUAAGAAUGCUUGCAACAUUUAAGUGGAUAAACGGUUGUUUUAAAUUUGAAGCUUCAGUAAUGCAUUCUUUAUUAAAUGAUGUAAUCUUAUUUCUUUCAAUAUAGUGUAAAUAAUAAGAACAUAAUUAUCCUUUGUAUACAAAAUGAAAACCAAGUUUACUGUUCUAUUAAUCAUUAUUUAUUUAUCUUGUUCUUUUGUCAGAAAUAUUACAGGGGCAUACAUACAGUAUUCCUUAAAUAAAAGGGGCAGUUCUUAGAAAAUUAACAUGUAUUUUAGCAAUGCAUAUUCAAACUUUUUCCACAUUUAUAACCAGCAACAAUAUGUAAGUAUUAUAAUGUAACACAAAUUAAUACUAUAAAUUUACUACUGAUUUU
Long non-coding RNA from Dreissena polymorpha, 911 nucleotides. RefSeq lists it as uncharacterized. The transcript is spliced from 3 exons. Lineage: Eukaryota; Metazoa; Mollusca; Bivalvia; Myida; Dreissenidae. The record is from RefSeq and is a predicted model, not a curated record.